Lingula anatina is the source of this 1428-nucleotide long non-coding RNA. Lineage: Eukaryota; Metazoa; Brachiopoda; Lingulata; Lingulida; Lingulidae. The record is from RefSeq and is a predicted model, not a curated record.
UCUAUGUUUUAUCACUUUGCAUUUUCAUGUAUAUAGAUGUUAUCCAAGAAAAUGUAUUUAUAGGUGUUGCUCACCUGUCAAAUUGCUUUUGUAGAUGUCUGGAAAGACGGGAGGAUUUGGGUCCAAGUUUAAAUAAUUAACUUAGUUCUUGCAUCCCUUCAUUUAUAUGUUGACUAAUGACACCAAAGUGACAGGUGAAACUGAGGUGAGAAAAAGAGAGUACUGUGAUUUUUUUACCAUAGAUCUAAAUUUUAAACAUUGUCACAUGUUCAUAUCUGAAAGCAAACCAAUAUUGGCUCUAUAAAACUAGGUUGAGCUGGAGCAUUAGUUAAAGCGUGUCUUACCAGAAUGUGCAGAAAUAAAUCAUGUCCGAAUAAUCCCAUUACAAAUGGAGGUAAUGAUCUAAAGCUUAACUGGUCUUUGGGGUGAAUUGUAAUUUAAAAAGUUUAAUACUUCAAAAACGAGUCUGCAAUAAGAACCUUGCCUGCCCAAAAUAAAGAAGACAUCGUACACAGGUGUUCCCCUGGUCUUAGCCAAUCAGAGUCCCAAACCGAAUAAGAGCACUUGUGCAAGAAGACAGAAAUAUGACAGAGGAAUUUGAAAGCUUGUCAAGCACAACACUAGAGGUGGUGUCCCUUAUUCUUUUGUUUUCCCGUGAAUGCACUUGCUCCAGUUGAUGGUACAAUACCGGGAGGCGGUAUUGCCUCUCUGAUCCUCUAGUUUUGAAUCUGAUGAUGAUGAUGAUGAGUGAAGCAGUCAGAGCAGUCCAGAACUCAAUGAGCUUUCCAGCAGUACUAGCACUGCCUGGUGUUGCCAGCCACCUUAAACCUAAAGGACCAGUUGGACGAUUUAGGGUAGUUGGCUGUAUUGCAGGGUCAGGCAGUAGUACUGAGACAGUGGCAUGUCCUGGCACUCCUAGGUCCAGUGGUACAAAGCUUUGAAGAGCUGAGAGAUCAAGAGGAAGGGGAAGACAAUUGACCCAAGUUUAUGAAGACAGUUAAAUAACUUAGAGAGGCAAGGCACAAAGAACUAGAGCAAACAAGAUGAUGCUGACAAGACAGUGCUGAAAAACAUAUUCUGCCCUUGCACUGGACAUAAAGAAGAUCCUGCUAGAGUAUUUACCUGGCAGUAACCCAUCACCAGUCAAGAUGGGAGUGAGCCUCCUCUCAUUCACCCGCUGUAAUGUCCCCAACAUUUGGAUUGUUGAUGAAUUAACUACAUUUAUUCAUUCUCAGUGAAGAAUAUCAUAGAAUAACUAUCACCAGGAGUUGGGUCUGUUCACGGAAAAAUAAAUGCAUUUUUAAAUUAACUUAGCUUCCACUAUCUAUAAUGUCUUCACCAGACAUGAGUGCACCAAAGGAAUCAAAAAUUAAUUCUGUUUAAAAAUUCAAAUUAUUGAAUGUUAAAAUAGAUAGAUAUAUAGAAAUA